RNAcentral lists this small RNA (124 nucleotides) under Marmota monax (woodchuck). Lineage: Eukaryota; Metazoa; Chordata; Mammalia; Rodentia; Sciuridae. The record is from RNAcentral.
ACCUGGCUUGGUGGCGCAUGCCUGUAAUCCUAGCAACUCUGGAGGCUUGAGGCAUGAGGAUCACAUUCAAAGCCAGCCUCAGCAACGGUGAGGUGCUUAGCAACUCAGUGAGAUCUUGUCUCUA